RNAcentral lists this ribosomal RNA (444 nucleotides) under uncultured bacterium. RNAcentral's name for it is "partial 16S ribosomal RNA". It matches the Rfam family "Bacterial small subunit ribosomal RNA", at positions 338 to 795 of the family's 1533-position model. The record is from RNAcentral.
CCUACGGGAGGCAGCAGUGGGGGAUAUUGGACAAUGGGGGGGAACCCUGAUCCAGCGACGCCGCGUGAGUGAAGAAGUAUUUCGGUAUGUAAAGCUCUGUCAGCAGGGAAGAAAGAAAUGACGGUACCUGACCAAGCAGCCCCGGCUAACUACGUGACAGCAGACGCGGGAAUACGUAGGGGGCAAGCGUUAUCCGGAAUUACUGGGUGUAAAGGGAGCGUAGACGGUUAAGUAAGUCUGGAGUGAAAGGCCGGGGCCCAACCCCGGGACUGCUGUGGAAACUAUUGAACUUGAGUGCGGGAGAGGUAAGCGGAAUUCCUAGUGUAGCGGUGAAAUGCGUAGAUAUUAGGAGGAACACCAGCGGCGAAGGCGGCUUACUGGACUGUAACUGACGUUGAGGCUCGAAAGCGUGGGGAGCAAACAGGAUUAGAUACCCGUGUAGUC